RNAcentral lists this ribosomal RNA (253 nucleotides) under uncultured bacterium. Its description in RNAcentral is "partial 16S ribosomal RNA". It matches the Rfam family "Bacterial small subunit ribosomal RNA", at positions 524 to 776 of the family's 1533-position model. The record is from RNAcentral.
UACGUAGGGUGCAAGCGUUGUCCGGAAUUAUUGGGCGUAAAGAGCUCGUAGGCGGUUUGUUGCGUCGGCUGUGAAAUCCCGAGGCUCAACCUCGGGUCUGCAGUCGAUACGAGCAAACUAGAGUGUUGCAGGGGAGACUGGAAUUCCUGGUGUAGCGGUGAAAUGCGCAGAUAUCAGGAAGAACACCGAUGGCGAAGGCAGAUCUCUGGGCCGUAACUGACGCUGAGGAGCGAAAGCAUGGGGAGCGAACAGG